UACGAGGGGUCCUAGCGUUGUUCGGAAUCAUUGGGCGUAAAGAGCUCGUAGGUGGCUUAGUAGUCAGGUGUGAAAUCCCAGGGCUCAACCCUGGACGUGCACUUGAAACUGCAUAGCUUGAGUACGGUAGAGGUGAGUGGAAUUCCCGGUGUAGCAGUGAAAUGCGUAGAGAUCGGGAGGAACAUCUGUGGCGAAGGCGACUGCCUGGACCAGCACUGACACUGAGGCACGAAAGCGUGGGGAGCAAACAGG
This 252-nucleotide ribosomal RNA is filed under the name uncultured bacterium. RNAcentral's name for it is "partial 16S ribosomal RNA". It matches the Rfam family "Bacterial small subunit ribosomal RNA", at positions 524 to 776 of the family's 1533-position model. The record is from RNAcentral.